Molecule: ribosomal RNA, 253 nt
Filed under: uncultured bacterium
Lineage: Bacteria
Description: partial 16S ribosomal RNA
Rfam family: Bacterial small subunit ribosomal RNA
Source: RNAcentral
UACGUAGGGGGCAAGCGUUGUCCGGAAUCAUUGGGCGUAAAGCGCGCGUAGGCGGCCCGGUAAGUCCGCUGUGAAAGUCCAGGGCUCAACCUCGAGACGUCGGCGGAAACCAUCUGGCUAGAGUCCGGAAGAGGAGAGUGGAAUUCCUGGUGUAGCGGUGAAAUGCGCAGAUAUCAGGAAGAACACCCGUGGCGAAGGCGGCUCUCUGGGACGGUACUGACGCUGAGACGCGAAAGCGUGGGGAGCGAACAGG